This 24-nucleotide non-coding RNA is filed under the name Arabidopsis thaliana (thale cress). The record is from RNAcentral. Lineage: Eukaryota; Viridiplantae; Streptophyta; Magnoliopsida; Brassicales; Brassicaceae.
GGACAAGCCCAUGGGCGUCCCGCC